UACGAAGGGGGCUAGCGUUGCUCGGAAUCACUGGGCGUAAAGCGCACGUAGGCGGCUUUCUAAGUCGGGGGUGAAAUCCUGGAGCUCAACUCCAGAACUGCCUCCGAUACUGGAAGGCUCGAGUCCGGGAGAGGUGAGUGGAACUGCGAGUGUAGAGGUGAAAUUCGUAGAUAUUCGCAAGAACACCAGUGGCGAAGGCGGCUCACUGGCCCGGUACUGACGCUGAGGUGCGAAAGCGUGGGGAGCAAACAGG
This 253-nucleotide unclassified non-coding RNA is filed under the name uncultured Alphaproteobacteria bacterium. RNAcentral describes it as "contains 16S-23S intergenic spacer region". It matches the Rfam family "Bacterial small subunit ribosomal RNA", at positions 524 to 776 of the family's 1533-position model. The record is from RNAcentral. Lineage: Bacteria; Pseudomonadati; Pseudomonadota; Alphaproteobacteria.